This 74-nucleotide transfer RNA is filed under the name Mus musculus (house mouse). RNAcentral describes it as "tRNA-Ala". Lineage: Eukaryota; Metazoa; Chordata; Mammalia; Rodentia; Muridae. The record is from RNAcentral.
GUGGAUAUAGUUCAAUGGAUAAAGCGAUUGCUUAGCAUGCCCAAGGCCCUGGGUUCGAUCUCCAGUGUGUCAUA